GACGAACGCUGGCGGCGUGCUUAACACAUGCAAGUCGAACGGACAGGCCCUUCGGGGUACUCGCGUGGCGAACGGGCGGGUAACACGUGGGUGAUCUGCCCACCACUCUGGGAUAAGCCUGGGAAACCAGGACUAAUACCGAAUAGGACGACGCGAUUCUUGGCGUGAGGUGGCAAGAUUUUGCGGUGGGGGAUGGGCCCGUGGUCUAUCAGUUUGUUGGUGGGGUAAUGGCUGAUCAAGGCGACGACGGGUAGCCGGACUGAGCGGGUGACCGGCCACACUGGGACUGAGAUACGGCCCAGACUGCGACGGGAGGCAGCAGUGGGGAAUAUUGCACAAUGGGCGCAAGCCUGAUGCAGCGACGCCGCGUGAGGGAUGACGGCCUUCGGGUUGUAAACCUCUUUCACCAGGGACGAAGCGUAAGUGACGGUACCUGGAGAAGAAGCACCGGCCAACUACGUG
RNAcentral lists this ribosomal RNA (462 nucleotides) under uncultured bacterium. RNAcentral's name for it is "partial 16S ribosomal RNA". It matches the Rfam family "Bacterial small subunit ribosomal RNA", at positions 28 to 507 of the family's 1533-position model. The record is from RNAcentral.